GCCGUCCCCUCCCGUCCCGGCCCGACCUCCAGACUACCUACCGGACGGGACGAGGCGAGUGGGGAAGUAAGUUAGUCGCGAACUAGGGCGGAAAGGACCGUGACGCAGCGACGCCGCGUGAGGAGUGAAUGCUUCGGUUGUAACCGUCUUUCAGCAGGACGAAGCGCAAGUGACGGUACCUCGCCAGAAGAAGCGCCGGCUAACUACGUGCCAGCAGCCGCGGUAAUUC
Molecule: ribosomal RNA, 229 nt
Filed under: uncultured bacterium
Lineage: Bacteria
Description: partial 16S ribosomal RNA
Source: RNAcentral